Molecule: long non-coding RNA, 1231 nt
Filed under: Numida meleagris (helmeted guineafowl)
Lineage: Eukaryota; Metazoa; Chordata; Aves; Galliformes; Numididae
Description: lncRNA (ENSNMEG00000020073.1)
Source: RNAcentral
GAAAAAAGGAAAACAAUACAAAUAAAGUUCUUAUAGUCCUUAGUGUAGCACAGUAACGACAUUCAAAGUCCUCAGGGUAUGUACUAAUUUGGAAAAAAAAAAAGAAUUCUGACUAUUACAAAAUAUAUAUGUACUUAUUUGAUCAACAAUAAACAGUAGCACAAAGAUAAUUACAAAGUCCAUCCUCAGCUGAACUCUACUGAAAGCAAAAAGUUUAGCCUUUAAACCAGUGAGCCUAGUUAAUAGACUGUAUCCAUACUAGAAAACACAGAGCUGAUACAGGAAGGGAGGGAGGCCUGGGGAGAAAGGAAGAAGGAGCCACCUGCUCAGCUGAGAAUUAAUGUACAGCUCUGAGGAAAAGAAAUGGCGGCUGCAGCAAAGAACAAGCUUUGUUUGUAUUUUAAUAAUUUGCCUCCUAUGUAGACCUACUUGAACUUGAACUGGAGGGCUACAUUGCUUACUGCACAAGCGUGACUAUUAGUUCAGCUGCUGAAAACUGAUCUACCAUAACACACUUCCUCAGGCUGUUUGUGAAGCCAAGUGUCAGGCAUCACCUAAUACUUGAUUCUACUACUUUUAGAGCUAACGAAGGUCCUGUUGGACAAAGGGCUACAGGUGGCUGAGCAGAGGCUCUGAAAACAACUAUGUCCAUCAUCUUGGCCGGCCAGAAUCACUACAGAUAGCAGCACUGCUGCACAUGGAGUUGUAUGAGUGCUCCUGAUGAACAGUCCUUUGACAAUGAAAAAACAAAACCACACCAGAGAUCCAGGUUACCCAGGAACACCAGAAAGAUUUCCAGCCAUGUUGUGCCACCCCGUGUAAGAAAUGGGAAAUUGCACAGCUCUGCUGACCAUCGUGACCUGGGCGGUGUCCUGCAGAUGAUAACUUGUGCAAUUUGAAGGCAGUUUUUAGUUUAUCAGCAACCAAAUUAUAUUUAGAAAAGCUCAACAAUAUUUUGUAUGAAACAUUUUUUUCUUAAAACUUUCAACCUUUUGACAUAAUAAGUAAUAGAGGCCCUUUUUAUAUUACUGGUGUGAUGAAGGAUAAGGAAGAUUGCCACGCACACCCUGUUUUCAGAGCUCAGCUGAACCCAGCUCCGUCUGGAAUAAUUCCAGCUGUUCACAAACAAUGUGCACCAGCAGACUGAGAUCUCUAGCCACUCAGUCCUAAAUACCUGAGCCUUAUGAACUGUGUACAAAAUUCCUGUGAUCAGCUCUGCACUAUUAAAAAC